UCACAUUUUAUAAUUAUUUUAAUCUCCCUCCCAAAAUCUAAAUAGUUCCCCCAAAAGUUUAGAUUUCCCUAUGAGAUUUCACAAUGAACAUUCAUCUCUCCCAUUACCCACCCCAAUCGCUAUUCUUUCGCUGAAACUGCUAGAUCGUCUCCUCUUAUCGAUUCCCACUACUACGCCCCUAAUGAAUCGCAACUGAGUAACCGAUGAACCACAACUGCACCACCAGAUGAUCUCUCAUCGCCGCUCAUACCUUGUCACUCAACUCUUCUUCGCUUCACUUCAGCCCCGGAAGCCUUCAACAUGUAUAUGUAUGAUUAUUUGUACAUGGGACAUGUGAAUAUAGAAUGACUGGAUGAGGUCUUCAAAGUUACUCAGAUCAGAUUGGACAUGGAUCUGGUACAAAUAAACAUCUUAGAGAGGAUGCAGAAAUCGCUAUGCAAGGACUCAUCAAUUUUGCUUAAUAUACAUCUAGUAUACAUCUGCCAUUUUACUUUGGGGUAUGUGAAUGACAAGUGGAGUUUUGAGAAGAUGAUCAGAUUGAAUUAACAACUUUACUUGGAUUACUUUGUUAUUUUGAAAUUGGAAAUAUAUGUUAAAGUACAACAUAAGAUAUUGAUUACAUUUAUGUUAUUGUGCUGGUGUAAUUGAGAUACUAUUCCAUAUUAAUAAAAAUUUUAGUACAUCAAACAAUGAUGUUGUAGA
RNAcentral lists this long non-coding RNA (702 nucleotides) under Helianthus annuus (common sunflower). Lineage: Eukaryota; Viridiplantae; Streptophyta; Magnoliopsida; Asterales; Asteraceae. The record is from RNAcentral.